Molecule: ribosomal RNA, 443 nt
Filed under: uncultured bacterium
Lineage: Bacteria
Description: partial 16S ribosomal RNA
Rfam family: Bacterial small subunit ribosomal RNA
Source: RNAcentral
CCUACGGGAGGCAGCAGUGGGGAAUAUUGGUCAAUGGGCGCAAGCCUGACCCAGCAACGCCGCGUGAAGGAAGAAGGCUUUCGGGUUGUAAACUUCUUUUCUCAGGGACGAAGAAAGUGACGGUACCUGAGGAAUAAGCCACGGCUAACUACGUGCCAGCAGCCGCGGUAAUACGUAGGUGGCAAGCGUUAUCCGGAUUUAUUGGGUGUAAAGGGCGUGUAGGCGGGAGCGCAAGUCAGAUGUGAAAACUCAGGGCUCAACCCUGAGCCUGUAUUUGAAACUGUGUUUCUUGAGUGCUGGGGAGGCAAUCGGAAUUCCGUGGGUAGCGGGGAAAUGCGUAGAUAUACGGAGGAACACCAGGGGCGAAGGCGGAUUGCUGGACAAUAACUGACGCUGAGGCGCGAAAGCGGGGGGAGCAAACAGGAUUAGAUACCCCGGUAGUC